GGUCUUGUAGUAUAUAACAAUUAAUACAGCAAACUGCAACUUUACUAAAGCUAAAAGCCAAGACCU
This 66-nucleotide transfer RNA is filed under the name Microcondylaea bonellii. Its description in RNAcentral is "Unio bonellii tRNA-Cys". The record is from RNAcentral. Lineage: Eukaryota; Metazoa; Mollusca; Bivalvia; Unionida; Unionidae.